RNAcentral lists this ribosomal RNA (274 nucleotides) under uncultured bacterium. Its description in RNAcentral is "partial 16S ribosomal RNA". It matches the Rfam family "Bacterial small subunit ribosomal RNA", at positions 523 to 796 of the family's 1533-position model. The record is from RNAcentral.
AUACGGAGGGUGCAAGCGUUGUCCGGAUUUAUUGGGUUUAAAGGGUGUAUAGGCGGUGUAUUAAGUCAGUGGUGAAAGCCUGCGGCUCAACCGUAGAACUGCCAUUGAUACUGACACACUUGAGUAUGGACGAGGUAGGCGGAAUUUAUGGUGUAGCGGUGAAAUGCAUAGAUACCAUAAAGAACACCGAUAGCGAAGGCAGCUUACUAGGCCAUAACUGACGCUGAGGCACGAAAGCGUGGGGAGCGAACAGGAUUAGAAACCCUAGUAGUCC